Molecule: transfer RNA, 397 nt
Filed under: Cylindrospermopsis raciborskii R104
Lineage: Bacteria; Bacillati; Cyanobacteriota; Cyanophyceae; Nostocales; Aphanizomenonaceae
Description: partial 16S-23S ribosomal RNA intergenic spacer
Rfam family: tRNA (bases 193-265)
Source: RNAcentral
UAGGGAGACCUACCCAUUGAAGAAUCGAAAGCCGAAGGCGAAUAGAGAAUCAAAUGGUCUACUCUAGGUCGAUGACGUGAGAUUGUGAAGUCUUUCAAACUAAUAUUUGGUUCGCGGGCUAUUAGCUCAGGUGGUUAGAGCGCACCCCUGAUAAGGGUGAGGUCCCUGGUUCGAGUCCAGGAUGGCCCACCUGGGGGUUUAGCUCAGUUGGUAGAGCGCCUGCUUUGCAAGCAGGAUGUCAGCGGUUCGAGUCCGCUAACCUCCACAUUAGGAAGAAACUGGCAACUAGGGAAGACCUAGACUGCUGGUGGAAACCAGCCAGAACCUUGAAAACUGCAUAUAGAUAGAUAAGAGAGCCGAAAUCGAAAGAUAGAAGCAAGUGAAGAACCAAGUGGUC